RNAcentral lists this ribosomal RNA (500 nucleotides) under uncultured bacterium. Its description in RNAcentral is "partial 16S ribosomal RNA". It matches the Rfam family "Bacterial small subunit ribosomal RNA", at positions 28 to 523 of the family's 1533-position model. The record is from RNAcentral.
GUUGAACGCUGGCGGCAUGCCUUACACAUGCAAGUCGAACGGCAGCACGGGAGCAAUCCUGGUGGCGAGUGGCGAACGGGUGAGUAAAGUAUCGGAACGUGCCCAGUCGUGGGGGAUAACGUAGCGAAAGUUACGCUAAUACCGCAUACGAUCUAUGGAUGAAAGCGGGGGAUCGCAAGACCUCGCGCGAUUGGAGCGGCCGAUAUCAGAUUAGGUAGUUGGUGGGGUAAAGGCUGACCAAGCCGACGAGCUGUAGCUGGUCUGAGAGGACGACCAGCAACACUGGGACUGCGAGACGGCCCAGACUCCUACGGGAGGCAGCAGUGGGGAAUUUUGGACAAUGGGCGAAAGCCUGAUCCAGCCAUGCCGCGUGCAGGAUGAAGGCCUUCGGUGUGUAAACUGCUUUUGUACGGAACUAAAAGGUUUGGCCUAAUAAGCUGAGCUCAUGACGGUACCGUAAGAAUAAGCACCGGCUAACUACGUGCCAGCCGCCGCCGUAA